This 253-nucleotide ribosomal RNA is filed under the name uncultured bacterium. Its description in RNAcentral is "partial 16S ribosomal RNA". It matches the Rfam family "Bacterial small subunit ribosomal RNA", at positions 524 to 776 of the family's 1533-position model. The record is from RNAcentral.
UACGUAGGGUGCAAGCGUUAAUCGGAAUUACUGGGCGUAAAGCGUGUGUAGGCGGCCAUGUAAGUCGGAUGUGAAAGCCCCAGGCUCAACCUGGGAAGUGCACUCGAUACUGCGUGGCUUGAGUAUCGGAGAGGUUGGUGGAAUUCUCGGUGUAGAGGUGAAAUUCGUAGAUAUCGAGAGGAACACCGGUGGCGAAGGCGGCCAACUGGACGAAUACUGACGCUGAGACACGAAAGCGUGGGGAGCAAACAGG